ACUCAAAUGAAUAGACGGGGAGCCGCACAAGCGGUGGAGCGUGUUGUUUAAUUCGAGGCUAAGCGAAGAACCUUACCAAGGUUUGACAUCCUAGGAAUUUCUGUGAAAGCAGAGAGUGCCUUCGGGAACCUAGUGACAGGUGUUGCAUGGCCGUCGUCAGCUCGUGUCGUGAGAUGUUUGGUUAAGUCCAUUAACGAGCGCAACCCUUAUGAUUAGUUGGAUUUUUCUAAUCAGACUGCCCCGGCAACGGGGAGGAAGGAGGGGAUGAUGUCAGGUCAGUAUUACCCUUACACCUUGGGCUACAAACGCGCUACAAUGGCUGGUACAAAGGGCAGCGAAGUCGCGAGACGGAGCAAAUCCCAUCAAAGCCAGUCCCAGUUCGGAUUGCAGGCUGAAACUCGCCUGCAUGAAGUUGGAAUCGCUAGUAAUCGCAGGUCAGCACACUGCGGUGAAUACGUUCCCGGCUCUUGUACACACCGCCCGU
RNAcentral lists this ribosomal RNA (484 nucleotides) under uncultured bacterium. RNAcentral's name for it is "partial 16S ribosomal RNA". It matches the Rfam family "Bacterial small subunit ribosomal RNA", at positions 899 to 1397 of the family's 1533-position model. The record is from RNAcentral.